Molecule: long non-coding RNA, 5565 nt
Filed under: Sus scrofa (pig)
Lineage: Eukaryota; Metazoa; Chordata; Mammalia; Artiodactyla; Suidae
Description: lncRNA (ENSSSCG00000060135.1)
Source: RNAcentral
ACAUCCUGGUUCCAGAGUCCAAGUUGCUUCCAACAAGAGUGGGCGUGGGGGUGUGAGGCUGCCUGCCACACGGAGCACCUGUCUUUUAUAGCUGCCUGUCUGAAACCUGUGCCCACAGGUGAACUGUUUUUACUUCCUCAUUUGUCCAAUUGGACGUAUACGUUUUAGACCCCAUUUCCUUCUUUCUCCCACGUCAAACACUAGUAACACUCACCCAUCUCCCUUCACACACAUGGAAAUGCGCCCUUCCUGAUGAUUUUCCCUGACCUAUCGAAGCACUUAGUUGGCUGGUUUGAACGUCUCAGUCUGUGUCAUGUGUAUUUACCGCAUUUCCCCAUCUAGAUGGUAGGGUCCUAGGUUUGGGGGUGGAGACCACACCUUCUACUGCUUUCUUCCCAAUUGCACUCACACUGCAGUCUCUAUUUAGCAGUGCCUGGGGACAGCCAUUGGCUGCCUGGCAGGAAAUCUGUCCCCUCCCGCCCCAGGUCUACCCAGCCUAUAACCCUGUUGUGAUAUUUCUUGGAUCACCCCAGUCAGCCAACCACUUCUUAUCACACUCCUGUCCCCAUGUAUAACUCAGGGAAAGGCCACAUCCCUUUGAAAAGGAUUGUUUGCAAACAGCUGGCAUUAAAACUUCAAUAACAGUUUAGGCUAGAGUUACAGUAACAUUUUUAUCAUUCUUAACCAUUCUCUGGAGAAUCAAUAGCCCCUUAUAGCCAGGAGGCACCUACUAGCCCCUGAACAAGUGAACAAAUGAUUAUUUCCCAAGAUCCCAGGUCUUUGGUUCACAAAAUUACAGUGUUAAAGAGAUCAACAUGUAUUAGGUGAGUUGCUACUUAAGAGGUAGAAUUAGGCACCUUCAGGAGAGCAGAUGGCCAUCGCUCUAUUUCUGAGAAGCCUGUGGGUUUGUGUGUCCACCCCUUUCCCACAGACCACGCAAAAUGGCCCAAGCUGAGCCUUGAGAGCUGCCGGGCCCCUGCCUUGGUCCCCACCCCAUCUGCUUGCUUCCCUGGGGCUCCCCAUCAGUGGAGCUGAAUGGGCACAGUGCCAGGCCAGAUGGCAAAGAUGGGAAAAACUGCCAAAAAGGAGGCAAACAGGAAAUGGAAGGAGGGCUCUAGACGUGGGGGAGGGGCGGAAGGGCCCUCUCCUUUCUCCCGCCUCCAGCGAGAGGUCAGGUUUGGGGGGCAGGGGUUGGGGGGAAUGUAAAGCAAAGAUAUAGUGGCUGCCCCAGAAAAGCGGGGACACUGGGAUUUCAUUUCACCAGGGAGAAGGGGGGACUUGGGGGCCCACACAGGCUCAGUAACCUCAGCCUGCCUGCGGCUGCAGUCACAUGAGCACAUCACUACACACACGUGCGCAUGCAAGGCCGCGUGGAGGUGCCAGUAAACUGAGGGGUGUGCACCAAGAUUCCCUAGAACAUAUAAAUCCAUGUGUAAUGCAGCCUGUAACACACAUGCAUGUUCACAGAGGCACGGGCAGCUGGUGGGGGAGGAAACACACACAGCAGGCACAGCCCCCACCUUCACACACAUACACAUCACACACACACACCUGACCCCAGACAUAAGAGUGAGCAGGCAGCUUCAGGAGCACAGAUGGCUGCAGGUGGGCACAUGCAGAUCCCAGCCACAAGGCACUGAGGGGCAAAGAGAGACCCUGGGAACUGCCCCCUCCAACCCCAGCCUCCACGCCCCCCCCCACACACACACUUUCCUCCCACCCCCGAGUCCCUGUUCUGCAGCUCCCCAUGUGUGUAUGGGGGGUCCAGGCUCUUUUUGUCCUCAGUGACCCUCUGGGACCUGUCCUAUUGCCCUCUGAGCCGGGCUGGGCACCAGUCUUUGCUGAGAUAAGUCAGAGGGGCAGGGUUAUUUUUGCACCGGCAGGAAGUGAGAACAGGGGGUUUAAAAGUGCACAGGAGGCUAACUCAUGACCCUUCCCUCCCUCUCAUCCACACCACUGGCCCGUGGUGUCCACCCUUCUGGUGCCUGACCAGCGAUGCAGAGGGGAGCUGAACAGAAAGGGAUGGGCAAUUUGGGACAGUGAUGGGGGCAGGGAGGGGAGAGACACCUCCUGUCUGUCUAGCUUCUUCCUGUCUGCCACCCUCUCCCUGGGCUCCCCCCUCCCACGCUCUCCCCCCACUACCACCUUCACCAAAGCCCUUGAUCUCCUCAUCUCCUCUUUGUAGGAAUCCACAUCCUUGAAAGGUUUGGAAUCUCAGAUCUCUGGACAUCAUCUCUAGAAGAGUUCCAACCACCUUUCAGAUGCUGGCAGCCACAGGCCAGUUGGCACACGAGUCCCACCCCUCCUGCGGUGUGUGGUGCCGACUGAGCCCACUUCCUCUGCUCUGUCCUCAGGCAGCUCAGGGCCCGAAGAUGUGCCCGCUCCCCACAGACAGUAACUCUCAGCACCCCUUCACAUGGGUCCUUUCAGAUGCUCCCUACAGAUCCCAACGGUGCUGAGCCUCCAGUGGAAGCUUCAUGAAGUCUAAAGGCCUUGUGACAAGCUCCGUCCCACAGCGGCCCCAGGACACAAAUGAAUCCUGCCCAUCUGCUUGUCCUGAGUCUAAGGCAGGGAGUUUAACGAGGUCACCAGGGUGAAUGGAUGGCCUCCUCCUGCCCCAGGGGCCACGUUCUUCCCACUGCCAUGUUUAUCCAUCCUCCCUCGUCCCCAGUCCAGGCCCGCUCUGCUUCCUCCAGCCCAGAUCCCUGCUCCAGCUUCCCCCUACCCUUCCCCACCUGAGACUCUCUUCUUGCCUUUCCAACCCCAUCCCCGGCUGCAACUUUUCCCUCUCAUGUCUCCCCACGGUUUUUCUGGAAAAAGGCAGAAAGCAAAGGCGACCUACAGCUCAAUGAUUGAUGUGUGGGAUCUGGAGUUCCCAUCAUAGCUCAGCCGUUAAUGAACCUGACUAGCAUCCAUGAGGAUGAGGGUUCGAUCCCUGGCCUUGCUCAGUGGGUUAAGGAUCUAGCAUUGCUGUGACCUAUGGUGUGGGUCGCAGAUGCACAUCGGUCCUGAGUUGCUAUGCCUGUGGUGUAGGCCAGCAGCUAUAGCUCUGAUUGGACCCCUAGCCUGGGAACCUCCAUAUGUGUUGGGUGUGGCCCUAAAAGACAGGAAAAAAAAAAAAAGACCUAAGAGGGUUCAGCCCUCCAUAGCCUUGGGUGGUUCUCGCCUCCACAGGAGCCUUUGGCCUCGUGGACCUCGCCCUGACCUCAGGCAGCACUCAAGUCUCUGCUUUCCCCUUCCUGUGGGCACAGGUAUCAGAGGCCGAAAGAGCUGGGUUCUAGGGUCCCUCAGUUGCCAGGAAGUGAGGCUCAUGGGUUGAGUAGGUUUCUGCCUCCCGUUUAAUCCUUGCCUCCAUCUUCCCUUCUGCUACGACCUUCGCUCACCCUGAAGCGACAGGCGACACAACCCCUUCCGUCAGGGAGGCCCCCGUGAACAUAAGGACUCGGUGGGCAGCUGCCUCAUGGUUGGGACACAGAGGGACCAGAAGGCCUUGCCCGCUCUCAAAUAUCUCCCCCAACCCAUGCUCAGUAUCUGAAAUUUUAUCCACUUCGGGACCCUCACAGGCCACAUUCCCGCAGAACUGUAGGGACCCUGGACACAGUUCAUCUAAUCCUCCGAUAAAGACAAUGCCCUGGGUUAAGGCAGCGUCUGUCCAAGACACCACUGAAGCACACUGGUUACAUUGGAAGGAUCCCCGUAAGGGCACAGCUGAGCCUUGACCCUGCUGAUGGGGUUUCAUCAGAUGAGUUCAUUGUCACCGGCAAAGGCCCGGCCCUGGGGCGAGUGGGUUUUAGGGCUUGCGUUGUCUAAGAGUAGGAAAGGGCUGGCAACCAGCCCCAGAGGGCCUUCCUCGGUGGCCCUGGGAUUGGGGUUCAGCUUGACAGUGGGGACCUGACCGGUGAAGGGGAGGACACAGCCUCGGGGACAGCCAGGGUGGGGCUUCAAGAUCUAGGGCAAUCCUCUGUCCCCUGUCUGUGGGCCCAAGCCUGUCCCUUUGGGCUUUUGACUGAAACAUUUUCCCAGGGCCCACAGCCUACUUUCACCUCCACCCCCCCCCACCCAUGUCCUAUUUCUAAAGGAGAGGGGCUGCCCCUGGGGGGCUCCCCCCAACCUGUGAUGCCCCCAUACCUGUGCUCGCUGAGGCUCCGCCGCUGCCUUGAGCUGGCUUCCGCUGCUGCCUGUUCUGGGCUGGGCUGGGCUGGUAGGACCUGCUCCAGGCAGGCGGACACACCCACCUCCGCAGCUGUCAGCAGAUCCCAGCUCCCUGCACUCGCCCAACCCUGCGUGGGGCAGGGAGACAGAGGAGGAAGCACUGCCCUCAGUGGUCCACAGACAGGUCAGAGGAGAAGAAUCCCCAGCGGAUAAAGGCACUUCAUCUGGCCCCAACCAUCGCUGACUGCUGACUGUCCCCUCAUGGCUCACACAUUUCCCACAGUUUCCGGUGAGCCUAACUGGCACACCCACCCAGUGAUGCCAGAUGACUAACCCACCAGCCUUUUGUUCUCAUCAGUUCCUCCUGGCUGUCUGUCUCUCUGUUGGGUUCCUGCAGGUGGUUUCACUCUUGCCACAUGUAGCUUCUAUCUGUGUGUAUGUGUGUGUGUGUGGGGGGGAACCAGGGCUCAGAUGACAGCCUCUGGUCUCUGUACCCCGGGCUGAGCCCCUUGUUUUCUACAUCAGUAGGACCGGGCAUGGUGUUUGCAGUCAGUACUCAAAAACAAGCGGCAGGUGAAAAAGGACACUGUGGUCGAAUGAGAAUGGAGAGACUAAGUGGAAAAGGUUUCUCUGUUACAGAGCUUCUCAGAGGUUUCAACAUCCCAUUAAAAGGCCAAUGGCAUGUUGAUAAUCAAAGCUGAUAAAGGGUAGAUGGAGAUGCUUGACACUGUUCUUUGUGCUAUAUUCUACAUAUUGAGCUUCUCCAUAAUGUUUUCUCUUUUUUGUCUUUUUAAGAUCGUACUCACGGCAUAUGGAGGUUCCCAGGCUAGGAGCUGAAUCGGAGCUACAGCUGCCAGCCUAAGGCACAGCCACAGCAACGUUGGAUCCGAGCCACAUCUGCAACCUACACCACAGCUCAUGGCAAAACUGGAUCCUUAACCCACUGAGCAAGGCCAGGGAUCGAACCCACGUCCUCAUGGAUACUAGUCGGGUUCUUUAACCACUGAGCCACGACAGGAACUCUGUAAUGUUUUCUUCUAAAUGCUGUGCAGUUUCCCUCAUAUGUGUGUAUCCAGAACAUGUUUUGGGGGAUCCCAGAUUAUUAAAGGCUGAUGCUGGAGUCACAGCUCCAAGCAUGUCAUUAAGAUGCAGUUCCUGGAGUUCCCGUCGUGGCGCAGUGGUUAACGAAUCCGACUAGGAACCAUGAGGUUGCGGGUUCGGUCCCUGCCCUUGCUCAGUGGGUUAACGAUCCGGCGUUGCCGUGAGCUGUGGUGUAGGUUGCAGACGCGGCUCGGAUCCCGCUUUGCUGUGGCUCUGGCGUAGGCCGGUGGCUACAGCUCCGAUUCAACCCCUAGCCUGGGAACCUCCAUAUGCCGCGGGAGCGGCCCAAGAAAUAGCAACAACAACAACAAC